AAUGAAGUGCCUGAUUAAAGGACCAUCUUGAUAGGGUGAAAUAAGUAGAAUUUCUACCUUCAUUA
RNAcentral lists this transfer RNA (65 nucleotides) under Euspilotus scissus. Its description in RNAcentral is "tRNA-Ile". The record is from RNAcentral. Lineage: Eukaryota; Metazoa; Arthropoda; Insecta; Coleoptera; Histeridae.